GUCCCUAUAGCUUAAUGGAUAAAGCACAACCCUCCGAAGGUUGACAUCUCCGUUCGACUCGGAGUGGGGACA
This 72-nucleotide transfer RNA is filed under the name Parcubacteria bacterium DG_74_3. Its description in RNAcentral is "tRNA-Arg". It matches the Rfam family "tRNA". Rfam says of the family: Transfer RNA (tRNA) molecules are approximately 80 nucleotides in length. Lineage: Bacteria; Candidatus Parcubacteria. The record is from RNAcentral.